AGGCUAAAUACUCCUGACUGACCGAUAGUGAACCAGUACCGUGAGGGAAAGGCGAAAAGAACCCCGGCGAGGGGAGUGAAAUAGAACCUGAAACCGUGUACGUACAAGCAGUGGGAGCACCUUCGUGGUGUGACUGCGUACCUUUUGUAUAAUGGGUCAGCGACUUAUAUUUUGUAGCAAGGUUAACCGUAUAGGGGAGCC
This 201-nucleotide non-coding RNA is filed under the name Intrasporangium oryzae NRRL B-24470. RNAcentral's name for it is "Bacterial large subunit ribosomal RNA". It matches the Rfam family "Bacterial large subunit ribosomal RNA", at positions 463 to 667 of the family's 2925-position model. Lineage: Bacteria; Bacillati; Actinomycetota; Actinomycetes; Micrococcales; Intrasporangiaceae. The record is from Rfam by way of RNAcentral.